CCUACGGGUGGCAGCAGUGAGGAAUAUUGGGCAAUGGUCGGGAGACUGAACCAGCCAAGCCGCGUGAGGGAUGAAGGUACAGAGUAUCGUAAACCUCUUUUGUCAGGGAACAAAGGCGGGGACGUGUCCCCGGAUGAGUGUACCUGAAGCAAAAGCAUCGGCUAACUCCGUGCCAGCAGCCGCGGUCAUACGGAGGAUGCGAGCGUUAUCCGGAUUUAUUGGGGUUAAAGGGGGGGCAGGCGGUCUGUUAAGUCAGCGUUAAAAGCCCGGGGCUCAACCCCGGCCCGCCGUUGAAACUGGCAGUCUCGAGUUGGAGAGAAGUAUGCGGAAUGCGCGGUGAAGCGGUGAAAUGCAUAGAUAUCGGGCAGAACUCCGAUGGCGAAGGCAGCAUGACGGCUCCACACUGACGCUGAGGCACGAAAGCGUGGGUAUCGAACAGGAUUAGAUACCCCGGUAGUC
This 459-nucleotide ribosomal RNA is filed under the name uncultured bacterium. RNAcentral describes it as "partial 16S ribosomal RNA". It matches the Rfam family "Bacterial small subunit ribosomal RNA", at positions 338 to 795 of the family's 1533-position model. The record is from RNAcentral.